Molecule: long non-coding RNA, 2908 nt
Organism: Vespa velutina
Lineage: Eukaryota; Metazoa; Arthropoda; Insecta; Hymenoptera; Vespidae
Exons: 2
Source: RefSeq, a predicted model, not a curated record
AUAUAUAUAUAUAUAUAUAUAUAUAUAUAUUACAUUCAUUUAAUAUUUAUCUAUAAAGCGAGUACAACAAAGUUUUGAAUGGUUAAUUAUAAAAGAGAAAAAUAAAAGGACCACACACAAAAAAAAAAAAAAAAAAAAAAAAGAGAAAAAACAAGAAAAAAGGAAAAAACAAAAGAGAAAAAAUAUCAUAAUCUUUAUGAGAGAAUAAGAAAUCUUGAGUUGAGCCGAAACAAAGUAGGUUUGGAGUAACUCGCGAAUCGUCUUCUUCAUCGUCCGCGGUGAAGCGUGCAAAUAGUGAACGAACAGAGACGAAGGAGAAGGUGGGAGAAGGGGAGGGUAUGCAAGAGGGAGAAGAGGGACGAGGAGGAGUAUGGAGGAGGGCUACUCGCACGCUCCGACUUUCCCUCGUUCAGCCACGGUCACUGUUGCAAUGACGUAAGGCCCCCCCUAGAGUAGAGAGACUAGAUAAUUGUUAGCCUGCUAGCUAGCGCAGAAGAGACUCGCUUUAUAAUCUUCUCCAUCAUUCCGUGCCAUUCCAUUCUAUUUCGUUCGACUUUCGUCUCUUUUAUUCGUUGCUACUGUAUUUCCUUCUUCUUCUCUCUCUCUCUCUCUCUCUCUCUCUCUCUCUUUUCUUUUUCUAUAUUUUCUUUCUUCUUCUUCUUCUAUCUUUUCUUUUAUCCCCUUCUUCCCCUUCUUCUUUUCAUUGAUAAAACAACCUUUCACACUUUAACUCGCAUAUAUUCGCUAACACGUGUCUAUACGCAUAUAUAUAUGUGUGUGUGUGUGUGUGUGUGUGCGUGUGUGUGUGUGUGUGUGUGCAUGUGUAUGUAUAUAUUAUAGGUGCAUACGUAAUUUAAAAAAAAAAAAAAAGAAAAAGAAUUUUAUCCCUUCAAAGAAUGAACGAAACAAUUUUUGAAAAUCUACAAACAUUAAAUCAUCAUCUCGAUUGAUUUGUGAAAACAAAAAGAAGGAAAAUAUGAGAUAUUUCGCAGGACAUGAUGGCGCAUAUGCAAUACUAUCUGCGAAAGAAGAAGAUGAAGAAGAAGAAGAGAAGGAGGAGGAGGAGAAGGAGGAGGAGGAGGAGGAGGAAGAAGAAUAAGAAAAAGAAAAAGAAAAAGAAGAAGAAGUUAGAAGGCGUGAGUGACGGCAGACGAUGCUAAUGAGAGAUCCUAUCACUUAGUCUGACGUAACAUGGCAGCAACUUCGUUCUUAAAUUCGAGAGAGUUAAUUCUAUCAGAAUAAAAGGAAAAUGUUUCAUUCAUCAUCAUCAUCAUCAUCAUCAUCAUCAUAAUCCUCUUCGUUCGAUGAAUAAUCGAUCGUUAUUAUAUUAAUUGAAAAAAAGAAAAGAAAAAAAAGAAAAGGAAAAAAGAAAGGAAAAAAAAAUUAAAGAAAGACAAAAGAAAAAUGAUAAUGAUUCCGAUUAGAAUGUUUUGGGGGAAACGUUUUAACGUGAGUUUCAUAUAAAUUCGACAAAAUCGUUCUAUCGACUUACCGUCGUUAUGAUAUUGUCUCGAAGCCAAAGAAACGGCGCCGGACGAUGGCUGUUGCGUCGUAGGGGCUGUUGCCUGAGUGGUAGGACCGUGCGUUUGGCCGGACGAGUUAGUGCUGUUAGAAUUAGCCGGUGUUGUAGCUGGACUCUUGUGUUCCUGAUGACCGGAUGAAUCCUGAUAUCCCAAAAAAUCACCUAAAUCCGGGACGCAUACGCUCUCGUACAAGUUAUUCGCCGUAGUGUUCUCCAAUGAGGCCUUUUCAGCAUCGACAUCUAAAUUUUUAAAUGUAAAGUAACGUCAAAACCAAAUGAAUCCUUGAAGUGAAAAUUUUUAAUGAAAUUUCUCUUCGAUCCAUUUCGUCAUUCAUUUUUCUUUUCUUAUUAAUCACUUUAUAAAAGAUCCCUCAAUGAUAAUAAGUAUAUUAAAUAUAUCUUUUUAUCAUCUAUGAACGAUCAUCGUGGAUCUAAUCGAUCCGAAUAAAAUGAUGUAAUUAAUAUAAAUAAUUUAAUUUUGUCUUUUUUAAUUUAUUUUAUUAAAGGAGAAACAAAAAAGAGGGACGAUCCGCGACAACGAGGAUGAUUCGUAACGUCGAAUGAAACGACAAUAAUCAGACCGAGAAACGAGCUUUUAUCUAAGCCUGAUAGCGUUAUAAAUGCGACGCAAUUAUGACCACAAAAUGGAGCAUGUUAGCGAUAGAAGGAGAUUAAUUGUCCUGUUGCUUUUAAAACUUUCCACGAUCAUUGUUAUUAUUAAAAAGGAAGAAUUUUUCUUAACGUGAAAUGACGAAAAUAAGAAAGGAAAAUACAAAACGAUGAUGGAUUUUAUGCCAUAGGGAUAUAGAUAUAAAUAUAUAUACAUAUAUAAUAAUAUACAUAUGUAUUUAUAUAUUCUUAAAGCGUAGAAUCUCAGCUGGGUAAUUUCGCAAUGGCCCGGUACAACAAUAGGACAAAUUGAAGGAAAGCGAGGCAACAAACAACAACGCGAUGAUCGCAGAUCGCUCCGGUCAGCGCGGAGCAAGCGCAACAACGUUUCCUAAUAUCCGUUCUCGUUCAUGGAAUCAAAGCGAUUACCCACGUUGCUAGGCGUAUGUCACGGCUUUGUGUAUGUAUAAUAACGUGCUAGAAUAAACACUUUAUUACCUCCAUCGUCAUAUAGAUCAUUUGUGAGGAUCUAAAUGAUCGUGGAAGAUGAUAAUGAUGAUGAUGAUGAUGAUGAUGAUGAUGAUGAUGAUGAUGAUGAUGAUAAUGAAGAUGACGAUGACGAUGAAUGUAGAUAUGAACGUGAGAACAUAAUCACGUUCACGUAUGACAUUUGAUUUUAAUUGUAUAUAUAGCUAUUCGAUUAUAUGGACAUCGAAUAGUACGUAUGUUAAAUUUGAUAAAAAAAAAAAGAGAGAGAGAGAGAGAGAGAGAGAGAGA